UAGCUUUACUUGAAAAUUCCAUCUUUUGCACUAGUCACCAAAAAGAUGGAGAAUUAAAAGCACCUAUUGUGCAGAUUUCUUGAAAAUGUGCUGAGGAGACAUGAAGACGGGCAGAGAUGUGUGAAGAAACCAGUACAAUUGGAGGUACAACUGGAAAUGAGACAAGUUUACCUUUAAAAACAGAUCUGAUGGAAGACAACACAAGUAUUUAAUUUGAAGCUACUUCAACAACAACAACAACAAACAACAGCAACAAAACAGCUUUUCUGAACAAGACUGCCUUCAACUGUCAGAUAACUCCAGUACCACUGGAAAAGCACUAUCCAAAGACAUGAGUUGUUAUGAUGCAAUCAUUCCAGGUGGGUGCUCAUUCUGCUGUGACACCUCUAGCUUUCCACAAAAUGACAAGUUUUGUUGUAGCUCCUUGUACACAGAGACAACCAGAAGACUGGAAGAUACUUUCCAGCAAAUAGAUGACCUAGGAUCUUCCCUUAGAACACGUAUCUGCAAUGUGCUGUUGAAAUUAGCCUUUUAAAACGAGCCUUAGAAACAUUUGUCAGGUUGUUAUUUUAUUCCCUUUACUAGUUUUCUUUACAAAAAUGUGAUAGGUUGACUUUGGCAAAAUACUAGACACCCAUCCAGCCAAUCUCUCACUCCCUUCAGCAGGACAGUGGGGGAAAAUAAGACAGAAGAGCUUGCAGGUUGAGAUAAA
Corvus hawaiiensis (hawaiian crow) is the source of this 712-nucleotide long non-coding RNA. RefSeq lists it as uncharacterized. The transcript has 3 exons. Lineage: Eukaryota; Metazoa; Chordata; Aves; Passeriformes; Corvidae. The record is from RefSeq and is a predicted model, not a curated record.